AGCAGAGGCUUGGAGGAGCAAAAUCUAAGAGCGAAGGGCAAAUCCAAAAUUUGAAUGAAGGAGAGGGAGAGAGAACGUCUUUGUUGCAGAGAGGAGGACAUCCAUUUUUUUCUUCAGAGAUGGAAGGAGAGAGGAUAUGAGCGAGAGAGAGAGAAAUAAAUGUGUGCAGGCUGUUAUGUGCAGGUCUAGUGAUAGGGGAAAUUAAAAAAAAAAAAAUGGUUUUGCGGGAGAAGAACUACUUCUACGAGAAAAUCUUCAGUGGCCCCCAACACCUCCACAUGGCGCUUCAUGACUCGUCGGAGACCA
Molecule: long non-coding RNA, 306 nt
Filed under: Eucalyptus grandis
Lineage: Eukaryota; Viridiplantae; Streptophyta; Magnoliopsida; Myrtales; Myrtaceae
Description: long non-coding RNA (EGRA_LNC001695)
Source: RNAcentral